CCUACGGGAGGCAGCAGUGGGGAAUCUUGCGCCAAUGCGCGAAAGCGUGACGCAGCGACGCCGCGUGGGGGAUGAAGGCCUUCGGGUUGUAAACCCCUUUUGCAGGGGAAGAAGCUCUGACGGUACCCUGCGAAUAAGCCACGGCUAACUACGUGCCAGCAGCCGCGGUAAUACGUAGGUGGCAAGCGUUGUCCGGAUUUAUUGGGCGUAAAGGGCGUGUAGGCGGUCUACUAAGUCCGGGGUGAAAUCUCCCGGCUCAACUGGGAGGGGUCCCCGGAUACUAGCGGACUAGAGGUGGGCAGGGGAAGGCGAAAUUCCCGGUGUAGCGGUAAAAUGCGUAGAUAUCGGGAGGAACACCAGUGGCGAAGGCGGCUCUCUGGGGUCAACCUGACGCUGAGGUGCGAAAGCGGGGGGAGCGAACGGGAUUAGAUCCCCCUGUAGU
RNAcentral lists this ribosomal RNA (442 nucleotides) under uncultured Chloroflexota bacterium. Its description in RNAcentral is "uncultured Chloroflexi bacterium partial 16S ribosomal RNA". It matches the Rfam family "Bacterial small subunit ribosomal RNA", at positions 338 to 794 of the family's 1533-position model. The record is from RNAcentral. Lineage: Bacteria; Bacillati; Chloroflexota.